GUGAGGAAUAUUGCGCAAUGGAGGCAACUCUGACGCAGCCAUGCCGCGUGCAGGAAGAAGGCGCUACGCGUUGUAAACUGCUUUUAACCGGGAAGAAACCCCAGGACGUGUCCUGGGUUGACGGUACCGGAGGAAUAAGCACCGGCUAACUUCGUGCCAGCAGCCGCGGUAAUACGAAGGGUGCAAGCGUUAUCCGGAUUCAUUGGGUUUAAAGGGUGCGUAGGCGGAGCGUUAAGUCAGUGGUGAAAUCCUGCAGCUUAACUGUAGACUUGCCAUUGAUACUGGCGCUCUUGAGUGCGCUUGAAGUGGGCGGAAUGUGCCGUGUAGCGGUGAAAUGCUUAGAUAUGGCACAGAACACCAAUUGCGAAGGCAGCUCACUAAGGCGAUACUGACGCUGAGGCACGAAAGCAUGGGGAUCGAACAGGAUUAGAAACCCGUGUAGUCC
This 445-nucleotide ribosomal RNA is filed under the name uncultured bacterium. RNAcentral describes it as "partial 16S ribosomal RNA". It matches the Rfam family "Bacterial small subunit ribosomal RNA", at positions 354 to 796 of the family's 1533-position model. The record is from RNAcentral.